AGUCGAACGAUGAUAUCACUGCUUGCAGUGAUUGAUUAGUGGCGAACGGGUGAGUAACACGUGAGGAACUUGCCCAUGAGCGGGGGACAACAUUCGGAAACGGAUGCUAAUACCCCAUAGGUGGAUUGGUCGCAUGACGAAUUCAUUAAAGGUGGCUUUGCUACCACUCAUGGAUAGCCUCGCGGCGUAUUAGCUAGUUGGUAAGGUAAUGGCUUACCGAGGCAGUGAUACGUAGCCGACUUGAGAGGGUGAUCGGCCACACUGGGACUGAGACACGGCCCAGACUCCUACGGGAGGCAGCAGUAGGGAAUCUUCCACAAUGGGUGCAAACCUGAUGGAGCAAUGCCGCGUGAGUGAAGAAGGUCUUCGGAUUGUAAAGCUCUGUCGUUAGAGAAGAACACGUGCUAGGUAACUACUAGCGCCUUGACGGUAUCUAACCAGAAAGUCACGGCUAACUACGUGCCAGCAGCCGCGGUAAUACGUAGGUGACAAGCGUUGUCCGGAUUUAUUGGGCGUAAAGGGAGCGCAGGCGGUCUGUUUAGUCUAAUGUGAAAGCCCACGGCUUAACCGUGGAACGGCAUUGGAAACUGACAGACUUGAAUGUAGAAGAGGAAAAUGGAAUUCCAAGUGUAGCGGUGGAAUGCGUAGAUAUUUGGAGGAACACCAGUGGCGAAGGCGAUUUUCUGGUCUAACAUUGACGCUGAGGCUCGAAAGCGUGGGGAGCGA
RNAcentral lists this ribosomal RNA (726 nucleotides) under uncultured Carnobacteriaceae bacterium. Its description in RNAcentral is "bacterial SSU rRNA". It matches the Rfam family "Bacterial small subunit ribosomal RNA", at positions 60 to 771 of the family's 1533-position model. Lineage: Bacteria; Bacillati; Bacillota; Bacilli; Lactobacillales; Carnobacteriaceae. The record is from RNAcentral.